CUAAGGCCGAUGGCGACCGGCGCACGGGUGAGUAACACGUAUCCAACCUGCCGAUGACUCGGGGAUAGCCUUUCGAAAGAAAGAUUAAUACCCGAUGGCAUAGUUCUUCCGCAUGGUAGAACUAUUAAAGAAUUCGGUCAUCGAUGGGGAUGCGUUCCAUUAGGUUGUUGGCGGGGUAACGGCCCACCAAGCCUUCGAUGGAUAGGGGUUCUGAGAGGAAGGUCCCCCACAUUGGAACUGAGACACGGUCCAAACUCCUACGGGAGGCAGCAUG
This 274-nucleotide ribosomal RNA is filed under the name uncultured bacterium. RNAcentral describes it as "partial 16S ribosomal RNA". It matches the Rfam family "Bacterial small subunit ribosomal RNA", at positions 79 to 353 of the family's 1533-position model. The record is from RNAcentral.